Molecule: long non-coding RNA, 751 nt
Filed under: Hordeum vulgare
Lineage: Eukaryota; Viridiplantae; Streptophyta; Magnoliopsida; Poales; Poaceae
Description: long non-coding RNA (HVUL_LNC011778)
Source: RNAcentral
UGGAUUACAUCGCCGUGGCGAUACUACACCUGCCUACGGUAAAUCUUACGGUAGCAGCCGAACAGCUAUCAAUGUGAUGAACUGCACUCCGCGGGGACUCUCGCUGGAACGCGCAUCCUAGCUUCCAACACGGAAUCUUCGACAAUCAAGCAAUCAAGGCAUGACCUGCAAACUAGCGUGACAAGCGAGGUGAGUACUUUGAAUGUACUCGCAAGCUCACAACAAACAUCAGCAUUAAGGCAAGGCAAUAUCAUAGCAAUCAAGAUUAAGUGAAGGGUUGUUAUUACUAAAGGAGUAUCAGAGAACUAACUAUACCAGGCUACUCUCACCAUACCCGGGUGAUACCAACUCUUGUGAUCUUACCAAGAUCCUUAGCGAGUAUCCUCAAGAUGGAUACCGGAAAUUAUCACCGGCAUGAUGCCCAACUGUAACACUGGCACGAUGCCCAACAGUUACCUAUUCAGACGAGUUCUUCCAUGAGUACUAUCAUAGAUACGGCUGACCUUCUACUAAGGUCUGGUCGGGUUGUCCAAUACCAUGGACUCGGCUAUUCGAAUAGGUUUGACACUCUGCGGAGGUUGCACACUUUACCCACACUCUGGAGCACUCACCUCAUGAUCCCAUUCGGGUGGACCAGCAUUGCUCCAACGAAACUUGCCUGAACCGUGAUCCUCUAAUCGUAUCACCGGCAACCACUCCCUUCCCUGGAGUCCUACCCUGGGUGGCCCUGUGCCCGCAUGGCAGCUGUGCC